UUGUCUAAAGGACUAAGCCAUGCAUGCGAAAGUAUAGAUUUUUUUAUGAAAUCGAAACUGCGAACGGCUCCUUAAAACAGUUAUAAUCUACUUGGAAUUGUUUUUUUACAAGGAUACCUACGGAAACGCUGUAGCUAAUACUUGCUUGAUAUACUUUCGGGUAUAUCGUAUUCGUUGGCUUUAGCGGUAUGGUGCAUUAAUAAAUAUCCUGUGGAAUCACAACGAAGAAGUGACGCGUCCAUUUUUUUUUUUAAUGGUUAGCGCGUACCAAUCGAGUUUCUGAUCUAUCAGCUAAUCACGAAGGUAUUGUCUUGGUGAGGCUAUGACGGAUAACGGGGAAUUAGAGUUCGAUUCCGGAGAGGGCGCCUGAGAGAUGGCGACUAUAACUACGGUUAGCAGCGGGCGCGAAAAUUGCCCAAUACCGACAAGGCGAGGCAGCGACCAGACAUACCGGGCUUCGGCCGUUUUCACGGUUGAUGAACUGGAUUCGGAUCUCCCUAAACGAGAGGUCGAGAGGUAGUUUAGAUCAAGUUGAAGUGCCAGCAUUCGCGGUAAUACUUCCUCAAACGAAUGUAUGUUAAAGUUGUUGCGGUUAAAACGCUCGUAGUUGAUUCUCUUCCAUAGGUUGUUUGACCGGUUGCAUUCUCUUUAUUUUUUUACUAAAAUGAAGAGUCUUUGCUGACUAGUCCCCUAUGGCAUGAUCUUUCAUUUUAUUUCAUAGGAAUCUUCGGAUUUUGUGGAGUAAAUGAGAUCGUUACCUUGAGUAAAUUAGAGUGUUCAAAGCAGGCAUUUUUUUGUUUGAAUAUCUCAGCAUGGAAUAACUACAUUGCGCCAACGUUUGUUUUUGUUCGCACGAGCUGCACAAACUUGGUGCCGAUUAAUAGGAGCAGUUGGGGGCAUCCGUACUCCGGAGCUAGAGGUGAAAUUCUGUGACUUUCGGAAGACGCUCGACUGCGAAGGCACUUGUCCAAAAUGCGUCCAUUAAUCAAGAGCGAAGUUAUGGGCAUCGAAAAAGAUCAGAGACCUUUGUAAUCCAUAAAGUAAACUAUGCCGUCCAGGGCGGAGUUAACCCUAUUGAUGUUUUCUAGCCCAUUCAUUGCAAUGUUCUAAAUAUAUAAUAAAUGUUUUCCCAUCUGUUAUAUUUUUGGAAUAUUUGUGUAUGAUGGAUAAACUUGGAGAACAUCGCCCGAGGCUAGUUCUGCCCUCGUGAGAAAUCCGAGAUUUUGGGUUCCGGGGCGAGUAUAAGCGCAAGCUAGAAAGUUAAAAGAAUUGACGGAGGGGCACCACAAAGCGUGGAGCUUGCGGCUUAAUUUGACUCAACACGGGAAACCUCACUAGUGUAAGACAGCGGUAGGAUUGACAGGUUUGCAGACCUUUCAUGAUUCGCUGGCGGGUGAUGCAUGGCCGUUCCUAGCUCUUGGCGUGAGCUGUCUGGUUAAUUCCGAUAACGAGCGGGACCUCCCCUUCCGUUUGUGCAGUUGCCAUACAAAAGAUAUAAAAAUGUUUUUUUUUUGUUUCUGUUGCUUUCAGUUUACAUUCUUCUUUAGAAGAUGUGAAUAUGAUUAGUAAUAUUUGCAAAUAAAAAUAUUUUAUAUUUUUGACAAUUUAAUUUUUGCAGUACGGAGGGACGUCGCGUGUUUAACGCGAGGCAGGGAGGCCACAACAGGUCUGUGAUGUCCUCAGAUAUGCUAGGCUGCACGCGUGCUACACUGGCGCGCGCAUCGGGCUUAGAUAUAAAAAAUAACUUAUUUUAUGUAAGUGAAUUUUUUUUUCCUCUCUUGAGAAAGCGGGGGAAUCCUGAAUGCGCGCCGUGACGGGGAUCGAAUCUUGCAAUUAGGAUUCUUGAACGAGGAAUGCUUAGUAAGCGCAACUCAUCAGGUUGCGCUGUAUGCGUAACUGCCCUUUGCACACACCGCCCGUCGUUGCUUUUAAUGGAGUGCCAAGUGACUUGUGUAGAGCGUUCGUUCGGUUAUUCGUUCGUUGCAAAGCACUGGGAAUUUUGUUCUCUAGAGAAAG
RNAcentral lists this ribosomal RNA (2016 nucleotides) under Haemoproteus tartakovskyi. RNAcentral describes it as "partial small subunit ribosomal RNA". It matches the Rfam family "Eukaryotic small subunit ribosomal RNA". Lineage: Eukaryota; Apicomplexa; Aconoidasida; Haemosporida; Haemoproteidae. The record is from RNAcentral.